GGGACACGUGGUAUCCUGUCUGAAUAUGGGGGGACCAUCCUCCAAGGCUAAAUACUCCUGACUGACCGAUAGUGAACCAGUACCGUGAGGGAAAGGCGAAAAGAACCCCGGCGAGGGGAGUGAAAAAGAACCUGAAACCGUGUACGUACAAGCAGUGGGAGCACCUUCGGGUGUGACUGCGUACCUUUUGUAUAAUGGGUCAGCGACUUAUAUUCUGUAGCAAGGUUAACCGUAUAGGGGAGCCGCAGGGAAACCGAGUCUUAACUGGGCGUUAAGUUGCAGGGUAUAGACCCGAAACCCGGUGAUCUAGCCAUGGGCAGGUUGAAGGUUGGGUAACACUAACUGGAGGACCGAACCGACUAAUGUUGAAAAAUUAGCGGAUGACUUGUGGCUG
Molecule: ribosomal RNA, 394 nt
Filed under: Klebsiella pneumoniae
Lineage: Bacteria; Pseudomonadati; Pseudomonadota; Gammaproteobacteria; Enterobacterales; Enterobacteriaceae
Description: partial 23S ribosomal RNA
Rfam family: Bacterial large subunit ribosomal RNA
Source: RNAcentral